GACGAACGCUGGCGGCGUGCUUAACACAUGCAAGUCGAGCGGUAAGGCCCUUUCGGGGGUACGACGAGCGGCGAACGGGUGAGUAACACGUGGGUGACCUGCCCUCAGCUCUGGGAUAAGCCUGGGAAACGUGGGUCGUAAUACCGGAUAUGACUCCAUGACGCAUGUUGGUGGGGUGGAAAGCCUUGUGCGGCUGAGGAUGGGCCCGCGGCCUAUCAGCUUGUUGGUGGGGUGANGGCCCUACCAAGGCGACGACGGGUAGCCGGCCUGAGAGGGCGACCGGCCACACUGGGACUGAGACACGGCCCAGACUCCUACGGGAGGCAGCAGUGGGGAAUCUUGCGCAAUGGGCGAAAGCCUGACGCAGCGACGCCGCGUGA
Molecule: ribosomal RNA, 380 nt
Filed under: uncultured bacterium
Lineage: Bacteria
Description: bacterial SSU rRNA
Rfam family: Bacterial small subunit ribosomal RNA
Source: RNAcentral